CCCCAGUAAACGGCGGCCGUAACUAUAACGGUCCUAAGGUAGCGAAAUUCCUUGUCGGGUAAGUUCCGACCCGCACGAAAGGCGUAACGAUUUGGGCACUGUCUCAACAACAGACUCGGUGAAAUUGUAAUUCCGGUGAAGAUGCCGGAUACCUGCGACAGGACGGAAAGACCCCAUGGAGCUUUACUGUAGCUUGACAUUGGGUCUUGGUACUACAUGUACAGGAUAGGUGGGAGGCUUUGAAACCAGGACGCCAGUUUUGGCGGAGCCAUCCUUGGGAUACCACCCUUGUAGUACUGGGACUCUAACCAUAGGCCAUGAAUCUGGUCUUGGGACACUGUCAGGUGGGCAGUUUGACUGGGGCGGUCGCCUCCCAAAAGGUAACGGAGGCGCUCAAAGGUUCUCUCAGUACGGUCGGAAAUCGUACGUAGAGUGUAAAGGCAAAAGAGAGCUUGAUUGCAAGACAUACAGGUCGAGCAAGGAUGAAAAUCGGACUUAGUGAUCCGGUGGUUCUGCGUGGAAGGGCCAUCGCUCAACGGAUAAAAGCUACCCUGGGGAUAACAGGCUUAUCUCCCCCAAGAGUCCACAUCGACGGGGAGGUUUGGCACCUCGAUGUCGGCUCAUCACAUCCUGGGGCUGUAGUAGGUCCCAAGGGUUGGGCUGUUCGCCCAUUAAAGUGGUACGCGAGCUGGGUUCAGAACGUCGUGAGACAGUUCGGUCCCUAUCCGUCGCAGGCGUAGGAAAUUUGAGAAGACCUGUCCUUAGUACGAGAGGACCGGGAUGGACGUACCUCU
Molecule: ribosomal RNA, 794 nt
Filed under: Clostridioides difficile
Lineage: Bacteria; Bacillati; Bacillota; Clostridia; Peptostreptococcales; Peptostreptococcaceae
Description: partial 23S ribosomal RNA
Rfam family: Bacterial large subunit ribosomal RNA
Source: RNAcentral